This 84-nucleotide transfer RNA is filed under the name Kitasatospora xanthocidica. RNAcentral's name for it is "tRNA-Pro". Lineage: Bacteria; Bacillati; Actinomycetota; Actinomycetes; Kitasatosporales; Streptomycetaceae. The record is from RNAcentral.
CAGCGGGUGGCCGAGGGCGAUCGCCCCGCCACUGGGGUUGACCAGCUCGUCGGCCCGCUCCGGUUCGAACCCGAUCCCGUCGGC